GAUCCUGGCUCAGAUUGAACGCUGGCGGCAGGCCUAACACAUGCAAGUCGAACGGUAACAGGAAGCAGCUUGCUGCUUCGCUGACGAGUGGCGGACGGGUGAGUAAUGUCUGGGAAACUGCCUGAUGGAGGGGGAUAACUACUGGAAACGGUAGCUAAUACCGCAUAACGUCGCAAGACCAAAGAGGGGGACCUUCGGGCCGUCUUGCCAUCGGAUGUGCCCAGAGUGGGAUUAGCUAG
Molecule: ribosomal RNA, 239 nt
Filed under: uncultured bacterium
Lineage: Bacteria
Description: partial 16S ribosomal RNA
Rfam family: Bacterial small subunit ribosomal RNA
Source: RNAcentral